Non-coding RNA from Epinephelus lanceolatus (giant grouper), 356 nucleotides. The record is from RefSeq and is a predicted model, not a curated record. Lineage: Eukaryota; Metazoa; Chordata; Actinopteri; Perciformes; Serranidae.
GCCACCAGUGCCCUCCAGCCCUCCCGGUUGGACUGAUGAGAAGGCCGGUCCUUUAGUGGCAGCAGAUAUCUCAGAAACAUCCACCGAACUUCAGGCUACACAAAUUUUACUGAGCAGUGACUAUAUGCCUGUGUGCUUCCAUGCUGUCACUUCCAAAGAUUUUCAUUUGGAUCCAGAGAAGGAUAUGAUUUUCUUAAGGUCUGAAAAAUUGUUUGGAGGAUGGGAUAAACAUGGCAUGCAAAUGUCCUUCUCUAGGCCUCUAGGAGACAAGAGCUAUCUCGUCGAAGGACGAAUCAUAAUUCCCAAGAAUAUCAUUCAUGAAAACAUACCCUACAAAUAUGUAAUUUACAAGCGCA